GUAGGUGGCAAGCGUUGUCCGGGAAUUAUUGGGGCGUAAAGCGCGCGCAGGCGGUUCUUUAAGUCUGAUGUGAAAGCCCACGGGCUCAACCGUGGAGGGUCAUUGGAAACUGGAGAACUUGAGUACAGAAGAGGAAAGCGGAAUUCCACGUGUAGCGGUGAAAUGCGUAGAGAUGCGGAGGAACACCAGUGGCGAAGGCGGCUUUCUGGUCUGUAACUGACGCUGAGGCGCGAAAGCGUGGGGAGCAAACAGGAUUAGAUACCCUGGUAGUCCACGCCGUAAACGAUGAGUGCUAAGUGUUAGGGGGUUUCCGCCCCUUAGUGCUGCAGCUAACGCAUUAAGCACUCCGCCUGGGGAGUACGGCCGCAAAGGCUG
Molecule: ribosomal RNA, 375 nt
Filed under: uncultured organism
Description: partial 16S ribosomal RNA
Rfam family: Bacterial small subunit ribosomal RNA
Source: RNAcentral